Molecule: ribosomal RNA, 506 nt
Filed under: uncultured bacterium
Lineage: Bacteria
Description: partial 16S ribosomal RNA
Rfam family: Bacterial small subunit ribosomal RNA
Source: RNAcentral
AGUGAACGCUGGCGGUAGGCCUAACACAUGCAAGUCGAACGGCAGCACAGGAGAGCUUGCUCUCUGGGUGGCGAGUGGCGGACGGGUGAGGAAUACAUCGGAAUCUACUUUUUCGUGGGGGAUAACGUAGGGAAACUUACGCUAAUACCGCAUACGACCUACGGGUGAAAGCAGGGGAUCUUCGGACCUUGCGCGAUUGAAUGAGCCGAUGUCGGAUUAGCUAGUUGGCGGGGUAAAGGCCCACCAAGGCGACGAUCCGUAGCUGGUCUGAGAGGAUGAUCCGCCACACUGGAACUGAGACACGGUCCAGACUCCUACGGGAGGCAGCAGUGGGGAAUAUUGGACAAUGGGCGCAAGCCUGAUCCAGCCAGACCGCGUGGGUGAAGAAGGCCUUCGGGUUGUAAAGCCCUUUUGUUGGGAAAGAAAUCCAGCUGGUUAAUACCCGGUUGGGAUGACGGUACCCAAAGAAUAAGCACCGGCUAACUUCGUGCCAGCCGCCGCGGUAA